GAUCUACAUCAAUCAAACAUUCCUUUGAUAUUUGGCAUGGAGCCAAAAAUCCUGGAAAACAAAUUAUCAAGUUUGCAUAGGUUGACAACAUGGAAAACGAGAACAACAGUGGAAAGGUAUUGGCACAGACUCCAGGUACUUGUGAUACUCCUGUGGGACAGGAGCUUCCCACAAGUUCUAGAAGGCAGAAGCAUCAGUACCAGGAAAGUAGUAGAGUGAGGAGGCAGAGACGUAGGGACCAAUUAAUGGCAUGACCCAAGGGACAAGAGUCUUGUCAGGAUUUACAGAUUGUCUCAAUUAUCACAGAUGAGACGCCGAUUGAGCAGAAGAGAAGUAAAUUGCUGAAGGACUAUCAGCGUGAGGUGUCUCGCACUCGUAAACCAAAGAUGGCAUUACUGAGAGAAAUCUUUGGAAGAGGAACUAUAAUUUGCUGGCUGUUUCCCUGCAAUGGUCCACCAUCUGGCAGUGGCAUAACUUACACCUUCCUGCCAAACUACGAUGUGUGACACUUUACUGUAACUGUACAGAAUGCCAUGCAGCUUUGUUUGGCCUGGGCCUUCCACAGCAUCUGUUUCCUGUUUCCCAUUGACCCUUCACUACUGACACAUCCUGCCUAGAGCCACUUGCCUCCCCCACCAUUUCCUUAACAAGACUGCUGAAACCUUCACUGAUUGUCUGAACAGAAGUGAGAUGGACAGAGACGAUCAGUUCAACCUUUUUUGAAAGUGUUUUUGCUGUAGAGUUUUUCUUCUGAAUUGUCUGCUGAGGAAGAGAUGACCGGUCUUUUGGAAUCCAGCUGCAGAAAUGAAGACGUGGGUUUAAGCACUUUGACAGAUUGGUUACAUUCUUCAAACUACAGCGGCUGUCAGCUCUGCUGGUUGUCCAUAAUUGCUUUGACUUGUUCAGUUCCUGUUAUUCAUAAGAAUUCUUCAUUCCCUUUUAAGUGCUUUGGUAUAUUUUGUUUCAUUUAUCUGUUUGUUUUUGUUAGCUGUUGGGGGUGGGAGCUUUCUUUUUUUUUUUUUUUUUGUGUGGGGGUGGGAGCUGCUUUUUUUUUUUUUUUUUGAGUGGGGUGCAGUGAGACUGGUAUUUCUGCUGCUAAUUGAAGCAUAACCAAAGGGACUUGGUGUUUAAUUGCAGUUGUUAUUGUGUUUUGGAGUACUUGACAUUUGCACUUUAGUUAUGUUACUUUUUGCUCAUAGUCUUACUGAAUUUAUGGGAGGGUUAAAUGCAGUUAAGUGAAAGCAGGGAAGAGUUGAUGUUGGCGGUACUCUGUGUGUUAGUUACCAUUGUUUACUCACUCAGCUGUUAUUGCCAUCUCUUAUUGCGCACACUGACCUUGAUGCGUUAGAAAAGCAAGACUGGGGUAAUGUCUUGAAGCUAACAGCUGUACUGUAUGUUGCAAGCAAUGCCUAAGCUGCAGUCCAAAGAUUCAGCUUAAGUGAUGGUUUGCCUUCUGUAAUGCAGCGGCACAUGAAUUCAGUAAUUUAAAUCAGAGAGGCGCACACACUAAUGCACUGAUAGUGAAGGAUUGUAGUGUCAAUAUGAUGUCUUAAGUCCCUGGGAGAGGGCUGCAUUCUGAGUACUUUAAUGAGAAUUCAUUAAACGAGUUUCAUAUGAAGUGCUUGAUGAGUUACAGUAGCUAUAAUGGAUUCUGUGUUGGAUGUACAUGCACUGCUCUGAAAGCUACAGGGCUGUGACCCCCAAGAGCUCUGCAUUGAGAGAUUAGGAAUUAAAGCCUAGUUUGGUAAUACUGACUUAAUGAUUACACUUGGCAUUUUGAAUUUGACUGUGUCACUGUGUUAAGUAACUAAUUUCAUAUCACAGUGGGGACAAUGGCUUUUAAGCUGUGGUACAUGACUGCAUUUGGCUUACCUUGUUUACUGCAAUAUGGAGAGUAAGGACUGAAUCCUAAUACAGAAAUUUUUGGUAGUUUGAUUUGGAUUGCAUGCCUGUGAGUGUGAAUGUGGUAGUUCAUACAGACAGCUCUUGUUUAGCGACUGUCAUUAGGUUGUGCUGCUGUAAGAGGAAGGUUCUAGACAGCUCUUGUUUAGUGUCUGUCGUUAGGUUGUACUGCUGUAAGAGGAAGGUUCAUGUCCCAUUAUAGUAUGUUUGCUGGUUUGCAUCCACUUGCAGUAGAGUGAGAAUGCAGUUUGGUUGCCAGCAGUGAAUGCAUAUACUUGAUUUUUAGCUUUAGACUCUGCUGAAGUGACAAGUUUAAUUGAUAACUUUGGGCUGUACUGCAGACAGUAGCUUUAAAAUCCCUAGGCAGAAAUUCCCACAUUUGAUAGCUGCGUUUAGACUCCAUUUUGUUGAAAGCAAAGUCACUGAGCAGAGUUUCAUAAGCUGAAAUGACGGUGGUUUAUGGUAUGAUUGAUAGCUUUGGGCUGUACUGCACAGAAUAUCUUUUGAAUCUCGGGCAGAAAUCCCACUGUGUUGGUUGUGUUUUAGCUAUAUUCCAUUGAAAGCAAAGGUCCGUUCCCUGGGCAGAACUUUGUAAAUUUGAGUUUAGAGUUCCACUGCUAAAACUUGCAGUGAUGCAUUUUAUUACAGUCAGAGAAGGAUCUGAAUCAUAGGGUACAGUUUCCCAUGUUAUCAAUGGUUACCUUUUAGGCUACAUCUCAAAAGAGAAAUGUAAAUCGUAGCAGAACUAUAAUAGAUUAUCCGGUACCUUCAUUCAGUUCCCCUGUCUAACUGCCCACUGAACUCUAAAUUGAACAGUAAGGAAAAGUUAAGAGGGAAAAAAAAUCCCUUCCUGUCUUCUCAAAGCUGAGGACAAAAAAAAAAAAAAAACUGCUACUACUGCU
Molecule: long non-coding RNA, 2804 nt
Organism: Protopterus annectens (West African lungfish)
Lineage: Eukaryota; Metazoa; Chordata; Ceratodontiformes; Protopteridae
Exons: 4
Source: RefSeq, a predicted model, not a curated record